This 237-nucleotide ribosomal RNA is filed under the name uncultured bacterium. RNAcentral's name for it is "partial 16S ribosomal RNA". It matches the Rfam family "Bacterial small subunit ribosomal RNA", at positions 96 to 334 of the family's 1533-position model. The record is from RNAcentral.
CGGCGGACGGGUGAGUAACGCGUGGGUAACCUGCCUCAUACAGGGGGAUAACAGUUAGAAAUGACUGCUAAUACCGCAUAAGACCACGGUACCGCAUGGUACAGUGGUAAAACUCCGGUGGUAUGAGAUGGACCCGCGUCUGAUUAGGUAGUUGGUGGGGUAACGGCCUACCAAGCCGACGAUCAGUAGCCGACCUGAGAGGGUGACCGGCCACAUUGGGACUGAGACACGGCCCAA